GAUGAACGCUAGCUACAGGCUUAACACAUGCAAGUCGAGGGGCAGCACGGUGUAGCAAUACACGGGUGGCGACCGGCGCACGGGUGCGUAACGCGUAUCCAACUUUCCCGUUACUCUCGGAUAGCCUUCCGAAAGGGAGAUUAAUACGAGAUGGUGUUCAGUUCCCGCAUGUUUGCCGAACUAAAGAUUCAUCGGUAACGGAUAGGGAUGCGUGACAUUAGAUAGUUGGCGGGGUAACGGCCCACCAAGUCAACGAUGUCUAGGGGUUCUGAGAGGAUGAACGGCCACAUUGGGACUGAGAUACGGCCCAG
This 311-nucleotide ribosomal RNA is filed under the name uncultured bacterium. RNAcentral describes it as "bacterial SSU rRNA". It matches the Rfam family "Bacterial small subunit ribosomal RNA", at positions 28 to 334 of the family's 1533-position model. The record is from RNAcentral.